This 22-nucleotide unclassified non-coding RNA is filed under the name Mus musculus (house mouse). Its description in RNAcentral is "oocyte_clustered_small_RNA12528". Lineage: Eukaryota; Metazoa; Chordata; Mammalia; Rodentia; Muridae. The record is from RNAcentral.
UAACCAGAGAGACUUCUAGCCA